Molecule: ribosomal RNA, 1673 nt
Filed under: Leptocypris sp. CBM ZF 11419
Lineage: Eukaryota; Metazoa; Chordata; Actinopteri; Cypriniformes; Danionidae
Description: 16S rRNA
Rfam family: Bacterial large subunit ribosomal RNA (bases 95-1564)
Source: RNAcentral
GCUAAAUAGCUAGCCUCACCACCAGAUCUAAACCAACAAUAUAAAUAACAAGACAUAGCCUAGCGCCAUAAAUUAAACCAUUUUCCUCAUCUUAGUACGGGAGACAGAAAAGAUUCAAGGAGAGCAAUAGAGAAAGUACCGCAAGGGAAAGAUGAAAGAGAAAUGAAAUAACUCAUAUAAGCACAAAAAACCAGGGGUGAAACCCCGUACCUUUUGCAUCAUGAUUUAGCCAGCACUACUAAGCAAAGAGACCUUUAGUUUAAUGCCCCGAAACCAGGUGAGCUACCCCGAGACAGCCUAUGCAUAUAGGGCCAACCCGUCUCUGUGGCAAAAGAGUGGGAAGAACUCCGGGUAGGGGUGACAGACCUAUCGAACCUGGUCAUAGCUGGUUGCCCAAGAAAUGGAUAGAAGUUCAGCCUAGUGUUCUCCGCAUUUAACGAAUAUGAAAAUUUUAGGGAAAAAGCACUAGAGUUAGUCAAGAGGGGUACAGCCCCCUUGACAAAGGAUACAACCUUAACAGGAGAAUAAAGAUCAUAACACAUAAGACUUAUUGUUUUGGUGGGCCUAAAAGCAGCCAUCCAACCAGAAAGCGUUAAAGCUCGGACAAGACGAAGUUAAUUAUUCCGAUAAAAAAUCUUAAUUCCCUUUGAGUAUUGGGCCGCCCCAUGUCCACAUGGGAGAGAUAAUGCUAAAAUGAGUAACAAGAAGACUAGAACUUCUCCUAGCACAAGUGUAAGCCGGACCGGACCAACCACCGACAAAUAGCGGACCCAAUAAGAGAGGGGACUGUGGCUCAUAAGAAGAUCAAGAAGAACCCACAAUAAUCACCGUUAUCCCCACACUGGAGUGCAUCUUAGGAAAGACUAAAAGGAAGGAAAGGAACUCGGCAAGUACAAGCCUCGCCUGUUUACCAAAAACAUCGCCUCCUGCAACCAAUCAGUAUAGGAGGUCCAGCCUGCCCAGUGACUAUUAGUUCAACGGCCGCGGUAUUCUGACCGUGCAAAGGUAGCGUAAUCACUCGUCCUUUAAAUGGGGUCAAGUAUGAAAGGCUAGACGAGGGCUUAACUGUCUCCCCUUCCAGGUCAGUGAAAUUGAUCUAUCCGUGCAGAAGCGGGUAUGGCAAUGCAAGACGAGAAGACCCUUUGGAGCUUUAGGUACAGGCCUUAACCAUGCUAAGUAAACUUAUAAAUAUAAAAAUCCCAUGGGAACUAAGGCCCUACCUUCGGUUGGGGCGACCACGGAGUAAAACUUAACCUCCACGUGGACUGGGGAUAGCCCUAGAGCCAAGACACACACAUCUAAGCCACAGAAUUUCUGACCAAGGAUGAUCCGGACAAUAGACCGAUCAACGAACCAAGUUACCCUAGGGAUAACAGCGCAAUCCUCUCCCAGAGCCCAUAUCGACGAGGGGGUUUACGACCUCGAUGUUGGAUCAGGACAUCCUAAUGGUGCAGCCGCUAUUAAGGGUUCGUUUGUUCAACGAUGAAAGUCCUACGUGAUCUGAGUUCAGACCGGAGAAAUCCAGGUCAGUUUCUAUCUGUAAAGCUACUCUUUCCCAGUACGAAAGGACAGGGAAGAGGGGGCCCACACUUGAAGCACGCCCCACCCCAAACUAAUGACUACAAAUUAAUUAGACGAAGGGAAGCCAUAGCACUAAGCUCUAGAUAAGAGUU